CAUACCAGAUUUUAUACCUUGCCAUGCCAGUGGCAACGCCACAGGCUCUUGCCAGUGCCAGGUUUUACACCCUGCCCUGGCGCACGUGGGCUUCUUUUACAUCGUUUCACCACAGCGGACAGCUGCAAAAGUCCACGGUGCUGCAGCUCGUCAAGACGCACGUGCCGCAGAUCGUACCCGAGUUGUUUCACCAGGCGAAUCCGGCCCUUCUCUACGCAUUUCCACACAAACACCGUCAAAAGAUGUUACCAGAGCUACGGUACAUAAGUUGCUGUCUAGGGAAAAAAUAUUUUAUUGUGUCGGUUUUCUUGGUUUACCUGCAAGUGCCAUGAACCUGCGAUACAUCGCCAGCAGCUGAAUGCGCAGAUCCUCGGCUGCCGGAACAUCCAGAGCGCGCAGAGAGUCAGCCGCGCCCAUCGUAUUGCGAGUACGUGCCCCAGCACCGGAAUGUCAGUUUCCUUGGGGGAACAUGUCCGCAAAUACUGGAUGAGAUAAAAUGGAAGAGAACCUCUUAUGCCAAAAAUUGGGAUAUAUUUUGAAGGAGACACUUUUCCAAGAUUUUUUCUGCGGUGCCCUUGCAACAAACCCGGCCUCCUUCAAUAAACUUUCAGUUUAGACCUUGGCGGCUCGGCCGUGUUACUUUGAUUGCCGGUUUAGAACUUUCACACUAGAUUAAUAUUAUCCCGACAAUUUUACAGUACUGUGGGAGCGUACGUACCGUUGUUGGCUUUUACGCGCAUUUCAUUAAAGUGUUCCUUUUGAACGGCUGCGGUCUGCUUGACGAAUUCCUCUAUCUCCGGACGAAAGCGCAGCGUGUUCGUAGUGCGAGCAAAGAGAGCCUUCUCGAUCUCAUCAUCAUCAGCUCUCGCCUGCGCCAAGGAGGAUCGAGCUGCAGUAUUCUUAACCAUGGCGUCUUCGAUGUAUUCUGUACCAUAAAAACCACACCUAAGCUAUGCACAGUCAAUCAUAUUACAAGAAUCAAAAAGGGUUUCUCGAGAGUCAAGAGCAGACCAGCCCAUGAAUCUCUCUAAUGAGGAACUGAAUUUAUCACUGCUGGAAAUUGUUCAUGCAACGUACCAGUAGCCGAUCUUUUGCAGUUGCGCAGAACAGUAAGGUUGAUGUGGACUUCUUGCCGCAGACUCCUGACACUUCUGCCUCGGGAACGACCGCAUGAUGCCAUUUUUUUCUCCGUCGGAACGAUCGAAACCGUGCACAACCCUUUCCCGGUGGACAAAAAUUUCGAAUUAAACGGAGCAGCACGUGGAGACUUUGGUGGCUGGUGAGACAGUUUAGCAAAUCAGCACAACUCGUGAUCCAGGGAUCCAUGCGCACGCUACGUAAUGCGUUAGACUGGCCCACGUUAGGCGUUCUGCAACAUCGUGGCCGGUGGCCACAUCACCACCGUUUAUUGUCAGCGGCUUCACGGUUUCAACCGGCCAGCUUUAAGGAUUUGACACCCACUGUUUAUCGAAGCCGUGUCGGCAGACUUUCUCCAUUCUCAUCAUUCUGCACCCUCUGGUGGCUGGAAGCCGUCAAAUCGGUGGGAACGGGUAGCUAGCAAUCUCGGUCUCCAUUCCGGUGCACGGGUGCAUACGGUAAAGUCAAAAUGUUCACUUAAUCCACCUUCCCUUGCGCUUUUUGCUUCAUCUUGACAAUCUUUUCCGUGAACUACUAUGCAGAUCUGUACUAGCUCGAUUGCGUAACUGGGCAACGGCUGCAAAGGAAAGAUAUUUCCAAGUUCUCCAGUCUUUUCUAACCUGUAAGCUUUUUUGUGUUUAGACAUUAAUUUUUUAGCACCAUCAAUACCGUACGCCGGUAGAUUAGGAAGCCUCAUUCCUGACUCAAAAAAAUUCAUUAUGGCUUAACGUCUGCGUGCACGGGUAAGCACUGGCGUUGGCUGCGUGCACGAGUGACCUUUUUGGAUCCGCACGCGUUCUGGCUGCAUGCACGGGAACGCCACGGGCUUUCGCUGCGUGCACGAAUUUUUACAUUAUUUUAUGCUUAAAUAUUUUUGAAUUUUGCAUUCUAAUUUCUAAUUGCGUAC
This is a long non-coding RNA of Paramacrobiotus metropolitanus, 2044 nucleotides long. RefSeq lists it as uncharacterized. The record is from RefSeq and is a predicted model, not a curated record. The transcript has 9 exons. NCBI's taxonomy places the organism in Eukaryota, Metazoa, Tardigrada, Eutardigrada, Parachela, Macrobiotidae.